ACGUUCGGAUUGCAGCCUGCAACUCGGCUGCAUGAAGCUGGAAUCGCUAGUAAUCGCGGAUCAGAAUGCCGCGGUGAAUACGUUCCCGGGUCUUGUACACACCGCCCGUCACACCAUGGGAGCCGGAAACGCCCGAAGCCAGCGGCCCAACCGCGAGGAGGGAGCUGUCGAAGGCGGGUCCGGUGACCGGGGUGAAGUCGUAACAAGGUAUC
Molecule: ribosomal RNA, 212 nt
Filed under: uncultured bacterium
Lineage: Bacteria
Description: partial 16S ribosomal RNA
Rfam family: Bacterial small subunit ribosomal RNA
Source: RNAcentral